UACGUAGGGUGCGAGCGUUAAUCGGAAUUACUGGGCGUAAAGCGUGCGCAGGCGGUGAUGUAAGACAGUUGUGAAAUCCCCGGGCUCAACCUGGGAACUGCAUCUGUGACUGCAUCGCUGGAGUGCGGCAGAGGGGGAUGGAAUUCCGCGUGUAGCAGUGAAAUGCGUAGAUAUGCGGAGGAACACCGAUGGCGAAGGCAAUCCCCUGGGCCUGCACUGACGCUGAGGAGCGAAAGCGUGGGGAGCGAACAGG
Molecule: ribosomal RNA, 253 nt
Filed under: uncultured bacterium
Lineage: Bacteria
Description: partial 16S ribosomal RNA
Rfam family: Bacterial small subunit ribosomal RNA
Source: RNAcentral